GGUUUAUGAACCUGAAAACCUACUUGAACCUUUCAUAGAUGCUCUGGAGUAUUUUCACAGCUGCAAUGGCCACGUAUAAUGUUUCACGGAGCCCGUUCUGUAGAACAAAUUACUUCUCAAUUUCUUGAACAUCAAGAAGAAAAAGAAAAACCACUAGAAAAGCUAAGACUCUCUUUUUCAUAAUUAAUACAAAUAUGGGCUUCAGGUUCAUAAACCUAACUGGGCGAAGCACAGUUCUACAGCUAACAUAAUGGCAUAAAUAAAACAGCUAGCUUUCUAUCUACC
Molecule: unclassified non-coding RNA, 285 nt
Filed under: Hevea brasiliensis (rubber tree)
Lineage: Eukaryota; Viridiplantae; Streptophyta; Magnoliopsida; Malpighiales; Euphorbiaceae
Source: RNAcentral